AAAUUGAAGAGUUUGAUCAUGGCUCAGAUUGAACGCUGGCGGCAGGCCUAACACAUGCAAGUCGAACGGUAACAGGAAGAAGCUUGCUUCUUUGCUGACGAGUGGCGGACGGGUGAGUAAUGUCUGGGAAACUGCCUGAUGGAGGGGGAUAACUACUGGAAACGGUAGCUAAUACCGCAUAACGUCGCAAGACCAAAGAGGGGGACCUUCGGGCCUCUUGCCAUCGGAUGUGCCCAGAUGGGAUUAGCUUGUUGGUGGGGUAACGGCUCACCAAGGCGACGAUCCCUAGCUGGUCUGAGAGGAUGACCAGCCACACUGGAACUGAGACACGGUCCAGACUCCUACGGGAGGCAGCAGUGGGGAAUAUUGCACAAUGGGCGCAAGCCUGAUGCAGCCAUGCCGCGUGUAUGAAGAAGGCCUUCGGGUUGUAAAGUACUUUCAGCGGGGAGGAAGGGAGUAAAGUUAAUACCUUUGCUCAUUGACGUUACCCGCAGAAGAAGCACCGGCUAACUCCGUGCCAGCAGCCGCGGUAAUACGGAGGGUGCAAGCGUUAAUCGGAAUUACUGGGCGUAAAGCGCACGCAGGCGGUUUGUUAAGUCAGAUGUGAAAUCCCCGGGCUCAACCUGGGAACUGCAUCUGAUACUGGCAAGCUUGAGUCUCGUAGAGGGGGUAGAAUUCCAGGUGUAGCGGUGAAAUGCGUAGAGAUCUGGAGGAAUACCGGUGGCGAAGGCGGCCCCUGGACGAAGACUGACGCUCAGGUGCGAAAGCGUGGGGAGCAAACAGGAUUAGAUACCCUGGUAGUCCACGCCGUAAACGAUGUCGACUUGGAGGUUGUGCCCUUGAGGCGUGGCUUCCGGAGCUAACGCGUUAAGUCGACCGCCUGGGGAGUACGGCCGCAAGGUUAAAACUCAAAUGAAUUGACGGGGGCCCGCACAAGCGGUGGAGCAUGUGGUUUAAUUCGAUGCAACGCGAAGAACCUUACCUGGUCUUGACAUCCACGGAAGUUUUCAGAGAUGAGAAUGUGCCUUCGGGAACCGUGAGACAGGUGCUGCAUGGCUGUCGUCAGCUCGUGUUGUGAAAUGUUGGGUUAAGUCCCGCAACGAGCGCAACCCUUAUCCUUUGUUGCCAGCGGUCCGGCCGGGAACUCAAAGGAGACUGCCAGUGAUAAACUGGAGGAAGGUGGGGAUGACGUCAAGUCAUCAUGGCCCUUACGACCAGGGCUACACACGUGCUACAAUGGCGCAUACAAAGAGAAGCGACCUCGCGAGAGCAAGCGGACCUCAUAAAGUGCGUCGUAGUCCGGAUUGGAGUCUGCAACUCGACUCCAUGAAGUCGGAAUCGCUAGUAAUCGUGGAUCAGAAUGCCACGGUGAAUACGUUCCCGGGCCUUGUACACACCGCCCGUCACACCAUGGGAGUGGGUUGCAAAAGAAGUAGGUAGCUUAACCUUCGGGAGGGCGCUUACCACUUUGUGAUUCAUGACUGGGGUGAAGUCGUAACAAGGUAACCGUAGGGGAACCUGCGGUUGGAUCACCUCCUUA
This 1540-nucleotide ribosomal RNA is filed under the name Escherichia coli. RNAcentral describes it as "bacterial SSU rRNA". It matches the Rfam family "Bacterial small subunit ribosomal RNA". Lineage: Bacteria; Pseudomonadati; Pseudomonadota; Gammaproteobacteria; Enterobacterales; Enterobacteriaceae. The record is from RNAcentral.